UCUGUCUCUGGCUGUCUAUGGCUCCUAACACGAUCCACGUUCUAGGGUCCUCGCGCUCGCGCCACAGCCACUAGACUUGCAAGUAUCAAGCCAAUCGAUAUCACCGCCAGGACGACAAGGACGACGAGGACGACCACAACCGCUACAGAGCUGCCGCUGCCGCCGCCGUCCGCCAGAUUAUCAGACGGUCUCUUCAGCUGCGGCGGCGCCGGCAGCGGCGGCUGCUGCUCCACGGUGGAGGUGCGGCGCUCCAGUUGCAG
Molecule: long non-coding RNA, 260 nt
Filed under: Sorghum bicolor (sorghum)
Lineage: Eukaryota; Viridiplantae; Streptophyta; Magnoliopsida; Poales; Poaceae
Description: long non-coding RNA (SBIC_LNC007763)
Source: RNAcentral